UCCCUGGAGGACUAGUGGUUAGGCCACAGUGCUCUCAUCGCUGCGUCCCGGGUUCGAUUUCUGGCCAGGGAA
RNAcentral lists this transfer RNA (72 nucleotides) under Pangasianodon gigas (Mekong giant catfish). RNAcentral describes it as "tRNA-Glu". It matches the Rfam family "tRNA". From Rfam's summary of the family: Transfer RNA (tRNA) molecules are approximately 80 nucleotides in length. Their secondary structure includes four short double-helical elements and three loops (D, anti-codon, and T loops). The record is from RNAcentral. Lineage: Eukaryota; Metazoa; Chordata; Actinopteri; Siluriformes; Pangasiidae.